Molecule: ribosomal RNA, 253 nt
Filed under: uncultured bacterium
Lineage: Bacteria
Description: partial 16S ribosomal RNA
Rfam family: Bacterial small subunit ribosomal RNA
Source: RNAcentral
UACGUAGGGCGCGAGCGUUGUCCGGAAUUAUUGGGCGUAAAGAGCGCGUAGGCGGUCCGAUAAGUCGGCUGUGAAAGUCCAGGGCUCAACCCUGGAAAGCCGGCCGAUACUGUCGGACUAGAGUCCGGAAGAGGCAAGUGGAAUUCCCGGUGUAGCGGUGAAAUGCGCAGAUAUCGGGAGGAACACCAAUUGCGAAGGCAGCUUGCUGGGACGGUACUGACGCUGAGGCGCGAAAGCGUGGGGAGCAAACAGG